Molecule: long non-coding RNA, 270 nt
Organism: Perognathus longimembris pacificus (Pacific pocket mouse)
Lineage: Eukaryota; Metazoa; Chordata; Mammalia; Rodentia; Heteromyidae
Exons: 3
Source: RefSeq, a predicted model, not a curated record
CUCUUGCCACUAGGCCAUAUCCCCAGCCCCCAGGACACAUUUUUAAAGUCCUAAAAUUGUGACCCUGAGAAAACUUUCAGAAUGGUUAUCUGAGUAUAUACAUACAUAAAUUUUCACCAAGUUGUACACUAAUAACAGGUCUCAUCUAACUCAUAAAAGAAAAGAGGAUCUCAGCCUCUCUAUUCCUAUACUCAGAGUAUAAAGAUAGAACCCAGAAGAAGGGAAAGAAUAUUGUAUGUACAAUGUUCACUACAUUAUUUAUAUUAAAAC